This 429-nucleotide ribosomal RNA is filed under the name Gemmatimonadota bacterium. Its description in RNAcentral is "Gemmatimonadetes bacterium partial 16S ribosomal RNA". It matches the Rfam family "Bacterial small subunit ribosomal RNA", at positions 355 to 776 of the family's 1533-position model. The record is from RNAcentral. Lineage: Bacteria; Pseudomonadati; Gemmatimonadota.
UAGGGAAUCUUCGGCAAUGGACGAAAGUCUGACCGAGCAACGCCGCGUGAGUGAAGAAGGUUUUCGGAUCGUAAAACUCUGUUGUCAGAGAAGAACAAGGACGUUAGUAACUGAACGUCCCCUGACGGUAUCUAACCAGAAAGCCACGGCUAACUACGUGCCAGCAGCCGCGGUAAUACGUAGGUGGCAAGCGUUGUCCGGAUUUAUUGGGCGUAAAGCGAGCGCAGGCGGUUUCUUAAGUCUGAUGUGAAAGCCCCCGGCUCAACCGGGGAGGGUCAUUGAAAACUGGGAGACUUGAGUGCAGAGGGGGAGAGUAGAAUUCCAUGUGUAGCGGUGAAAUGCGUAGAUAUGUGGGAGAACAGCUGUGGCGAAGGCGGCUCUCUGGUCUGUAACUGACGCUGGGGCGAGAAAGCGUGGGGAGCAAACAGG